Molecule: ribosomal RNA, 400 nt
Filed under: uncultured bacterium
Lineage: Bacteria
Description: bacterial SSU rRNA
Rfam family: Bacterial small subunit ribosomal RNA
Source: RNAcentral
GGGGAAUUUUGCGCAAUGGGGGAAACCCUGACGCAGCAACGCCGCGUGCGGGACGAAGGCCUUCGGGUUGUAAACCGCUUUCAGCAGGGAAGACCUUGACGGUACCUGCAGAAAAAGCCCCGGCUAACUACGUGCCAGCAGCCGCGGUAAUACGUAGGGGGCGAGCGUUAUCCGGAUUCAUUGGGCGUAAAGCGCGCGCAGGCGGCCGAUCAAGCGGAACCUCUAAUCCCGGGGCUCAACCCCGCGGCCGGGUUCCGAACUGGUCGGCUCGAGUUCGGUAGAGGAGGGUGGAAUUCCCGGUGUAGCGGUGGAAUGCGCAGAUAUCGGGAAGAACACCGAUGGCGAAGGCAGCCCUCUGGGCCGACACUGACGCUGAGGCGCGAAAGCUGGGGGAGCGAAC